RNAcentral lists this ribosomal RNA (484 nucleotides) under uncultured bacterium. Its description in RNAcentral is "partial 16S ribosomal RNA". It matches the Rfam family "Bacterial small subunit ribosomal RNA", at positions 30 to 507 of the family's 1533-position model. The record is from RNAcentral.
AUUGAACGCUGGCGGAAUGCUUUACACAUGCAAGUCGAACGGCAGCACGGGGGCAACCCUGGUGGCGAGUGGCGAACGGGUGAGUAAUACAUCGGAACGUGCCCGGUCGUGGGGGAUAACGUAGCGAAAGUUACGCUAAUACCGCAUACGAUCUGAGGAUGAAAGCGGGGGACCUUCGGGCCUCGCGCGAUCGGAGCGGCCGAUGUCAGAUUAGGUAGUUGGUGGGGUAAAGGCCUACCAAGCCGACGAUCUGUAGCUGGUCUGAGAGGACGACCAGCCACACUGGGACUGAGACACGGCCCAGACUCCUACGGGAGGCAGCAGUGGGGAAUCUUGGACAAUGGGCGCAAGCCUGAUCCAGCCAUUCCGCGUGCAGGACGAAGGCCUUCGGGUUGUAAACUGCUUUUGUAUGGAACGAAAAGGCUCUGGCUAAUACCUGGGGCUCAUGACGGUACCGUAAGAAUAAGCACCGGCUAACUACGUG